RNAcentral lists this ribosomal RNA (441 nucleotides) under uncultured bacterium. RNAcentral's name for it is "bacterial SSU rRNA". It matches the Rfam family "Bacterial small subunit ribosomal RNA", at positions 28 to 482 of the family's 1533-position model. The record is from RNAcentral.
GACGAACGCUGGCGGCGCGCCUAACACAUGCAAGUCGAACGAGAGAGAAGGAGCUUGCUUCUUCGAUCGAGUGGCGAACGGGUGAGUAACGCGUGAGGAACCUGCCUCAAAGAGGGGGACAACAGUUGGAAACGACUGCUAAUACCGCAUAAGCCCACGGGUCGGCAUCGACCAGAGGGAAAAGGAGCAAUCCGCUUUGAGAUGGCCUCGCGUCCGAUUAGCUAGUUGGUGAGGUAACGGCCCACCAAGGCGACGAUCGGUAGCCGGACUGAGAGGUUGAACGGCCACAUUGGGACUGAGACACGGCCCAGACUCCUACGGGAGGCAGCAGUGGGGAAUAUUGCACAAUGGGGGAAACCCUGAUGCAGCGACGCCGCGUGGAGGAAGAAGGUCUUCGGAUUGUAAACUCCUGUUGUUGAGGAAGAUAAUGACGGUACUCAA